ACCCGCACCAAUUAUUAUCAUAUGUGCCUUUAAUUUUCCUUUCUUCCUUGAUUCUCGACUGGUCUUACAUAAACUGCCUGCAGAGCACGAACGCAACGUUCCGGCUGCAGGCCGUGCCCGAUAGUUCCACGUCGUGGAUCGUAGUAAUUGGUCUCGCCUCACGGUAACCGAUAAGGGAAGUUCCUUGGACCCUGCGAACCGGCUUGAAUCUCGGAUUUCCCGCACACGGACCGAUUGGAAUCUCCGCCCUCUAUGCGGGUCAAGGUUCGCGUCUCUUUGAAGGCCGAGGAAGAAAUGUAUCUGGAGAGACGUUACAGCUAUCUGCGUUCCGUGCCGUGUGCACCUCUUCGUAAAUGUUGCGUGUGUAUGCAUGUGCAGGGGCCCCCUAAAAAUUUCCAGGUGGUGCUGCCAUAGAAAUACAUGGGACAGUGGCCUAGGAACUGUUACCGCCCCUGUAGGUGCAUUGUGAUCGUUUUGCGUCCGUAAACUUACAGUUUAUGCCUAGCGCCUGUCUUGUUUCUCAUCCUUUAAGGCAUAUCACCAACAAGCCCAAAUUUUUGCAUUAACUUAUUAAAGUGCGGAUAUUGGGAAACAGCUUGUGAGUGUCCUGAUGGGUGAAAUAUCUUGGUGACCUCUUCUAUUACGUGUGCACACUUCGGUUGAGUGAAUUUACUGUGUUGUGAACUAUUUCGUUGGGCGGACUUUUAUUUGUAUUGAAGCAGAGGGUUUAAGUGUGCGAUAAGUGUGGCUACUUAGAUAGUUUUGUGGUUGUCCUCUAUUUUUGUGGUAUUGUGGUUGUCCUCUGUAAUGCAGGAGAAGUAGCCGGUGCCGCACAUAAACUCAUAUUAAGUACAUUUAAUUAAUAAAGAAUUGUUCUGCACGGACACCAUUGCUGCCUAAAAUAAACCGUGAGAGAAAAAAAAAACACUGGCAUGGUUUCUCUGGGCAAAAAUUAAGUUAAUUCAACAACAACAAUCGUCCCUGAAAGAAGCACAAAACACAAGCACUGAUAUAAGAGACCACCAAAGCAUCGAUUGCUCUAUCAGCUCUACAGAAUCCGCCACCGGGGGUUUGUGCAGCAGAAUUGCUAAUGUUUUUUUUUUUCUGUGGUUUCCUAACUUUGAAUAUUUUAUCCAGUUAUUUUUUAUUAUCUGAUCGUGCAAAUACAUAUAAUUUGCUUUUGUGUUAAUAAAGUUUCAGUUGAAAUUCAGA
This is a long non-coding RNA of Rhipicephalus microplus (southern cattle tick), 1212 nucleotides long. RefSeq lists it as uncharacterized. The record is from RefSeq and is a predicted model, not a curated record. NCBI's taxonomy places the organism in Eukaryota, Metazoa, Arthropoda, Arachnida, Ixodida, Ixodidae.